AUUGAACGCUGGCGGCAGGCCUAACACAUGCAAGUCGAACGAGUGGCGGACGGGUGAGUAAUGUAUGGGAAACUGCCUGAUGGAGGGGGAUAACUACUGGAAACGGUAGCUAAUACCGCAUACUAUCAGAUGUGCCCAUAUGGGAUUAGCUAGUUGGGGGGGUAACGGCUCACCAAGGCGACGAUCCCUAGCUGGUCUGAGAGGAUGACCAGCCACACUGGAACUUAGACACGGCCCAGACGCCUACGGGAGGCAGCAGUGGGGAAUAUUGCACAAUGUGCGCAAUCCUGAUGCAGCCAUGCCGCGUGUAUGAAGAAGGCCUUAGGGUUGUAAAGUACUUUCAGCGGGGAGGCGUUACCCGCAGAAGAAGCACCGGCUAACUCCGUGCCAGCAGCCGCGGUAAUAC
This 406-nucleotide ribosomal RNA is filed under the name uncultured bacterium. RNAcentral's name for it is "partial 16S ribosomal RNA". It matches the Rfam family "Bacterial small subunit ribosomal RNA", at positions 30 to 526 of the family's 1533-position model. The record is from RNAcentral.